Molecule: small nucleolar RNA, 135 nt
Organism: Cavia porcellus (domestic guinea pig)
Lineage: Eukaryota; Metazoa; Chordata; Mammalia; Rodentia; Caviidae
Gene: SNORA70
Rfam family: Small nucleolar RNA SNORA70
About the family: snoRNA U70 seems to be exclusive to mammals and is a member of the H/ACA class of snoRNA which contain H (ANANNA) and ACA box motifs. H/ACA box snoRNAs are involved in the conversion of uridines to pseudouridines (5-ribosyluracil) a constituent of structural RNAs (transfer, ribosomal, small nuclear, and small nucleolar).
Source: Ensembl
AAGCAAAAAAGAUGUUUCAAAUUAGUGUAUUAGAUGAUGGGUGCCCAGUGUGCAAUGGCUAAAUAGCAAACUCCUCAAUGGUAUAUGCAGCCUGCUGCUUGUAUGGGCUAAUCCUAAGGGACCUUGGAGACACUG